UGAACCUCGCUUUCCCUGGGUCUCAAGAGAGGAAAUGCUUUUCUCUUUCACAAGGUUCUUCACCCACGGGGCGACUUUCUUUUCCUCUCGAUGUCAUCCUGUUACACAGGCAGGAAGUUCUGUUCACUUGGCUGUUGGGAAGACUUCUCCUGCCCCGCGGUCACAAAACAACAAAUAAAACGAAUUGACCCAGAAGUUAGGCAAUCAAAGAGGAGCCGAAAUCGCUACUUGAUAAAGCCUGUAGAUUGAAGAAAGCGGACUAUCAUUCCUGCGUGGUGACCCGCAGGCUGGGAAGCUGGAUCUGUGUUUGUCUAAUUGCUUUGGAAACACGUCAAGGCUCAGCGCUUCGGGAACUAUGAUGAUGAUCAGUCUUCUGCACAGCUUAAUAUUUUCAUCAGUGACAUCGACCACAGCUGGAAAUAAAGAAAGAAGAUGCAGGACAUCUCAUGAUGAAAAGAGCCACAGACCAUGCACUACUCAGAACAAGGAUCUUAUCAUGUCUAACUUUGUAUCUCCAAACUCAGCUAAAGCUUCCCCUUCAGUAAUCUCACAAGCAGACUGUGUGCACAAGAUAGCAUCUAAAGAAAGAUCAUGAGGAGUCAACAAGCCUGCAAGCAGUGGGAGAUGGUGAAGAAUCUGACCCCCUUUCUCAGUGAUUAACUGAGAUUAUUUCCCCUUUUCCCUUUAACACUUUCAUGGCCACGCAGAAUCUUUGGAGUUGGUUCUGGGACACCAGUCCUCCUUCUCCCCUGGUUGCCAGCCUCCUGAAUAAAGCAACAUUUCCUUUUCUACCCAACCCUUGUCUCUCGAGUAUUGGCUUUCGAGCAAGUUUGGUAACACUAAUUCAGGAUACCAGGAGCGAGUCCAGGGUGUUACCUGUACUCCGGACCAAUUGGCUAUAAACCAGAUUCCUACGACCCCCUCCUUGGGUUCGAUUAAUUUGCUAGAACAGACUCAGAGAAACAUGUUACUUACUAGACCACUGACUUAUUAUAUAAGGAUUUUAAAGGGUAUGAAAUCAACAGCCAGAUGAGGAGAUGUACAGGGCAACGGAUGGAGAAGGGGAUAGAGCAUCCACGCCCUCUCUGGGGGGCACCACUCUCCCCAAACUCUACCUGCUCACCAGCCCAGAAGUUCUCCAGAGCCUGUCCUUCCAGGUUUUAUGGAGGCUUCAUUACACAGGCUCGAUUGAUUAAAUGAGGAGAAGGAAGCUUCACAAAGCUCAUCCCUGAUUCAUCCUGUGCAGCUGUGUCAGAUGGUAGUUUCCAAAAAUAGCCCCAGCAGUAUUUCCAGCCCCAUAUGUUCUCUCUGCACUUUGCCACACCCCACAGAGAGGCAGAAUCUGUUUCGCCUUCCUUAGAAUUGGGUAAGACUCUGCGGCUGCCUUGACAAGUGAACAAGGUAGAAUUGAUACUAGAAAUUCAGGGUCUGAGUCAUCAAAAAAAUAAUGGCUUCUACCUAGCUCUGCUGUUCUUGAAACACUAGCCCUUGGAAGCCGUCGCAUGCUGUGAGGAAGCCCAGUGUAGUAGCCCCCAUUGAGCGAUUACUUGGAGAGGAGCCCAGGCCACCAGUCAACAGCCCAAAUCAGCUGCUUGUCUUCCAGCUGAAGCCCCAGGCAUCACGGGGCUGAGAAAGGCCACCUCCGCUUUGCCCGUCCGCACCCCUGACCCACAGAAUCUAUAAGCAAAAUAAGUGGUGGUUUUAUGCCGUAAAGUUUUGAGGUAAUUUGAUUCCCAGCCACAGUAACUGGGCCGGGAUUGGGGAAAUAACAAUGAAUAGCAACAAAUAACAAUGAGGGGGACCACUCCCCGCAACUGUCUACAUCAUCAAGAAAAUUACAGAGACACAGACCUACUAGUGAGUUUCCUAAGGAAAGUGGGCCUUGCUCUCUCUGUGGAAUGGUGGGGAAACAGGGCACCCAGGUUCUGGUGAAGUCCCUUUCAUUUUCUAAGGAGAUUCAUCCCUACUUUUGAUGUUAAAGCAUCUGUGUACACCCUCAUUGGCUGUUGGCAAAAAUACAGUCAUUUGUUUGCACAACUUAAUGUUUAUGAAAGUUGCCUAAAGAUGAUUUGAUUCCCUACUUCUCUCAA
This is a long non-coding RNA of Aethalodelphis obliquidens (Pacific white-sided dolphin), 2090 nucleotides long. RefSeq lists it as uncharacterized. The transcript is spliced from 3 exons. The record is from RefSeq and is a predicted model, not a curated record. NCBI's taxonomy places the organism in Eukaryota, Metazoa, Chordata, Mammalia, Artiodactyla, Delphinidae.